GGCUUAGUGGUAGAGCGUCUGCUUUGCAUGUAGAAGGUCCCAGGUUUGAUCCCUGUCAUCUCCA
Podarcis lilfordi (Lilford's wall lizard) is the source of this 64-nucleotide non-coding RNA. NCBI's taxonomy places the organism in Eukaryota, Metazoa, Chordata, Lepidosauria, Squamata, Lacertidae. The record is from the annotation of a GenBank genome assembly.